GCAAAGAUAUUUUCGUCGGGGCAAACCUAAUCCGGCCAAUUUUGUCGGCAUAGAUCUUUGCCGACGAAAUUUCGUCGGGACAAGUGUUCAUGUGUUUUUUUUUUUGAAAAGUAUAAAUUUUAAAAAUAUAAAAUUAUACUAAAAUAUUGUAUAGUGGCCUAUUAAUAUCUACUUUGGAUAUGUUUAAACUAGCAAAUUAAAAUCUAUAAAGUACCAAGCUAAUGCGACUUGGAGGGUCCUUCUUUCUUUUAUUUAUUUAUUUAUUAAAUACUAUAUUUACAUAGUAUAGCCGGGCGGCUAUACUUUUUUGGGACACGUGGCGCCUAAUCGCUGGAGGCUCCUUUUUUUUUAAACCCAAAAACAGUACAGCCGCACGGCUAUACUCUGUGUUUUUUUAAAAAGUCGACACGUGGCGUCUUUUUAUUUUACAAAUAGUAUAGCCGCACGGCUAUACUCAGUUUUUACAUUUUUUUUUUUAAUUUUAAUUUUAAUUUUUUUUUUAAAUAUAAAUUUUAAUGAAAAGGCAGGGUACACCUUUUAAGUAGCAUGGCAUGUAUUUCACUUUUUUAAUUAACUUCAUGAAUUAUAUUACUUAAUGAAUAGUAAUUCAAUUUGUCUUCUUCUCCUUUAUUACUAAUCAAAGUAAUUAAAAAAGUGAAAUACAUGCCAUGCUACUUAAAGGGUGUACCCUACCUUUUCAUUAAAAUUUAUUUUAAAAAAAAAAAAAAAAAAAAAAAUUUUAAAAAAAUUAAAUUACUAUUCAUUAAGUAAUAUAAUUCAUGAAGUUAAUUAAAAUAUUUAAUCAUAAUCAGUCAUUAAAUAAAUAAUAAUUAAAAUAUAAUUGCUAAUUCAGCUAAUUAAAUCUCCAAAUAUAUUAUGUAGUUACUAAAAAUAAAAUUUUUGAAAAUUUAUUAACCUAAACAUCCUAAGUUUAUACUUAUUUUUUAAAAAUUAGACCUCUCCCGAC
This 967-nucleotide long non-coding RNA is filed under the name Prunus persica (peach). Its description in RNAcentral is "long non-coding RNA (PPER_LNC008791)". The record is from RNAcentral. Lineage: Eukaryota; Viridiplantae; Streptophyta; Magnoliopsida; Rosales; Rosaceae.